RNAcentral lists this ribosomal RNA (553 nucleotides) under uncultured archaeon. Its description in RNAcentral is "bacterial SSU rRNA". It matches the Rfam family "Archaeal small subunit ribosomal RNA", at positions 905 to 1458 of the family's 1478-position model. The record is from RNAcentral.
AUUGGAUUCACGCCGGAAAUCUUACCGGGACCGACAGCGAUAUCCUUUUGGGCUGAAGACUUUGCCGGAUUAGCUGAGAGGUGGUGCAUGGCCGUCGUCAGUUCGUACUGUGAAGCAUCCUGUUAAGUCAGGCAACGAGCGAGACCCACGCCCACAGUUGCCAGCGUACUCUCCGGAGUGGUGGGUACACUGUGGGGACCGCCGCUGCUAAAGCGGAGGAAGGAAUGGGCAACGGUAGGUCAGUAUGCCCCGAAUAUCCCGGGCUACACGCGAGCUACAAUGGUUGGUACAAUGGGUAUCUACCCCGAGAGGGGAUGGCAAUCUCCUAAAACCAAUCUUAGUUCGGAUUGAGGGCUGCAACUCGCCCUCAUGAAGCUGGAAUCCGUAGUAAUCGCGUUUCAACAGAACGCGGUGAAUACGUCCCUGCUCCUUGCACACACCGCCCGUCAAACCACCCGAGUAGGGUCUGAAUGAGAGCGCUUACCAAUCGGAGGCGUUCGAAUUUGGGCUUUGCAAGGGGGGUUAAGUCGUAACAAGGUAACCAAGGGCGAAU